Molecule: ribosomal RNA, 2787 nt
Filed under: Escherichia coli
Lineage: Bacteria; Pseudomonadati; Pseudomonadota; Gammaproteobacteria; Enterobacterales; Enterobacteriaceae
Description: bacterial LSU rRNA
Rfam family: Bacterial large subunit ribosomal RNA
Source: RNAcentral
AGCGUACACGGUGGAUGCCCUGGCAGUCAGAGGCGAUGAAGGACGUGCUAAUCUGCGAUAAGCGUCGGUAAGGUGAUAUGAACCGUUAUAACCGGCGAUUUCCGAAUGGGGAAACCCAGUGUGAUUCGUCACACUAUCAUUAACUGAAUCCAUAGGUUAAUGAGGCGAACCGGGGGAACUGAAACAUCUAAGUACCCCGAGGAAAAGAAAUCAACCGAGAUUCCCCCAGUAGCGGCGAGCGAACGGGGAGCAGCCCAGAGCCUGAAUCAGUGUGUGUGUUAGUGGAAGCGUCUGGAAAGGCGCGCGAUACAGGGUGACAGCCCCGUACACAAAAAUGCACAUGCUGUGAGCUCGAUGAGUAGGGCGGGACACGUGGUAUCCUGUCUGAAUAUGGGGGGACCAUCCUCCAAGGCUAAAUACUCCUGACUGACCGAUAGUGAACCAGUACCGUGAGGGAAAGGCGAAAAGAACCCCGGCGAGGGGAGUGAAAAAGAACCUGAAACCGUGUACGUACAAGCAGUGGGAGCACGCUUAGGCGUGUGACUGCGUACCUUUUGUAUAAUGGGUCAGCGACUUAUAUUCUGUAGCAAGGUUAACCGAAUAGGGGAGCCGAAGGGAAACCGAGUCUUAACUGGGCGUUAAGUUGCAGGGUAUAGACCCGAAACCCGGUGAUCUAGCCAUGGGCAGGUUGAAGGUUGGGUAACACUAACUGGAGGACCGAACCGACUAAUGUUGAAAAAUUAGCGGAUGACUUGUGGCUGGGGGUGAAAGGCCAAUCAAACCGGGAGAUAGCUGGUUCUCCCCGAAAGCUAUUUAGGUAGCGCCUCGUGAAUUCAUCUCCGGGGGUAGAGCACUGUUUCGGCAAGGGGGUCAUCCCGACUUACCAACCCGAUGCAAACUGCGAAUACCGGAGAAUGUUAUCACGGGAGACACACGGCGGGUGCUAACGUCCGUCGUGAAGAGGGAAACAACCCAGACCGCCAGCUAAGGUCCCAAAGUCAUGGUUAAGUGGGAAACGAUGUGGGAAGGCCCAGACAGCCAGGAUGUUGGCUUAGAAGCAGCCAUCAUUUAAAGAAAGCGUAAUAGCUCACUGGUCGAGUCGGCCUGCGCGGAAGAUGUAACGGGGCUAAACCAUGCACCGAAGCUGCGGCAGCGACGCUGAUGCGUUGUUGGGUAGGGGAGCGUUCUGUAAGCCUGCGAAGGUGUGCUGUGAGGCAUGCUGGAGGUAUCAGAAGUGCGAAUGCUGACAUAAGUAACGAUAAAGCGGGUGAAAAGCCCGCUCGCCGGAAGACCAAGGGUUCCUGUCCAACGUUAAUCGGGGCAGGGUGAGUCGACCCCUAAGGCGAGGCCGAAAGGCGUAGUCGAUGGGAAACAGGUUAAUAUUCCUGUACUUGGUGUUACUGCGAAGGGGGGACGGAGAAGGCUAUGUUGGCCGGGCGACGGUUGUCCCGGUUUAAGCGUGUAGGCUGGUUUUCCAGGCAAAUCCGGAAAAUCAAGGCUGAGGCGUGAUGACGAGGCACUACGGUGCUGAAGCAACAAAUGCCCUGCUUCCAGGAAAAGCCUCUAAGCAUCAGGUAACAUCAAAUCGUACCCCAAACCGACACAGGUGGUCAGGUAGAGAAUACCAAGGCGCUUGAGAGAACUCGGGUGAAGGAACUAGGCAAAAUGGUGCCGUAACUUCGGGAGAAGGCACGCUGAUAUGUAGGUGAAGUCCCUCGCGGAUGGAGCUGAAAUCAGUCGAAGAUACCAGCUGGCUGCAACUGUUUAUUAAAAACACAGCACUGUGCAAACACGAAAGUGGACGUAUACGGUGUGACGCCUGCCCGGUGCCGGAAGGUUAAUUGAUGGGGUCAGCGCAAGCGAAGCUCUUGAUCGAAGCCCCGGUAAACGGCGGCCGUAACUAUAACGGUCCUAAGGUAGCGAAAUUCCUUGUCGGGUAAGUUCCGACCUGCACGAAUGGCGUAAUGAUGGCCAGGCUGUCUCCACCCGAGACUCAGUGAAAUUGAACUCGCUGUGAAGAUGCAGUGUACCCGCGGCAAGACGGAAAGACCCCGUGAACCUUUACUAUAGCUUGACACUGAACAUUGAGCCUUGAUGUGUAGGAUAGGUGGGAGGCUUUGAAGUGUGGACGCCAGUCUGCAUGGAGCCGACCUUGAAAUACCACCCUUUAAUGUUUGAUGUUCUAACGUUGACCCGUAAUCCGGGUUGCGGACAGUGUCUGGUGGGUAGUUUGACUGGGGCGGUCUCCUCCUAAAGAGUAACGGAGGAGCACGAAGGUUGGCUAAUCCUGGUCGGACAUCAGGAGGUUAGUGCAAUGGCAUAAGCCAGCUUGACUGCGAGCGUGACGGCGCGAGCAGGUGCGAAAGCAGGUCAUAGUGAUCCGGUGGUUCUGAAUGGAAGGGCCAUCGCUCAACGGAUAAAAGGUACUCCGGGGAUAACAGGCUGAUACCGCCCAAGAGUUCAUAUCGACGGCGGUGUUUGGCACCUCGAUGUCGGCUCAUCACAUCCUGGGGCUGAAGUAGGUCCCAAGGGUAUGGCUGUUCGCCAUUUAAAGUGGUACGCGAGCUGGGUUUAGAACGUCGUGAGACAGUUCGGUCCCUAUCUGCCGUGGGCGCUGGAGAACUGAGGGGGGCUGCUCCUAGUACGAGAGGACCGGAGUGGACGCAUCACUGGUGUUCGGGUUGUCAUGCCAAUGGCACUGCCCGGUAGCUAAAUGCGGAAGAGAUAAGUGCUGAAAGCAUCUAAGCACGAAACUUGCCCCGAGAUGAGUUCUCCCUGACUCCUUGA